RNA transcript from Amphiprion ocellaris (clown anemonefish), 3697 nucleotides. It is a transcript of the gene named caldesmon 1a, with no coding region annotated. Lineage: Eukaryota; Metazoa; Chordata; Actinopteri; Pomacentridae. The record is from RefSeq and is a predicted model, not a curated record. The transcript has 17 exons.
AGGGGAAGAAGCAAGCAUUUGCCUUUUCUGUCAGCUGAGGCCGGACUGUGGGAGAGUGUUACUAGAAGUUGUUGCAUUGUGGCUUUGCAGGGAGAAGUUAUUGUGAGAAGCUGGUAUGGUGUGAAGGAAAACACGCUGUUUGAAGGGCUAAUUCAAGGGCACAACCAUGGAGGAAAUGGACUUUGAGCGGCGCCGGGAGCUGAGGAGGCAGAAGCGGGAGGAGAUGCGCCUGGAGGCCGAACGGAUGGCGAGGAAUGAUGAUGAUGAGGAGGAGGCGGCCCGUGAGAGGAGGCGCCGGGCUCGGCAGGAGAGGCUGAGGAGCAGGGAGAGCGAGGAGCCCAGCAGCCAGCCAGACAGCCUGGUCAUGACCAACAGCCACAGUGUGACAGAGACAGUGACUGUGAGCAGCUCUUAUGGAGGCGGCGGAGACGACGAAGAACAGGCGCUGCUGGACCGGAUGGCCAAACGAGAGGAGAGACGGCAGAGACGCAUGAAGGAGGCGCUGGAGAGACAGGGGCAGCUGGACAACACCGAGGCCACCGACGGCGUCGCCACGGAGAGAAACAACGCAGAAGAGGAGAGACCCUCCUCCUGGCGUAGGGGUCGUUACCGUGACAAUGAGGAUGAGGAGGAGAAGCCAGCGACCUACAGUUCAAGGAGGGAUCAGAAGGACCGAGAGGAGCCGAGAGAGGAAGAGGAGGCUGCUCCUGAAGCCACAGAGGUGGAGGAGGAGGAGCAGAAAGUUGAAGUGGAGGAGGACAAGCCGAGAAGGUCUUACUUGAGAGAACAGGCGUCAACUGACGAGCCUAAAAUGCAAAACAAGGCUCUCGCUGAAGAAGAAACACUUUCUGUAGUCAGUGAGAGUUCAAAUCAGGCCAAGUCAGCAAAUUCAGAGGCUGAGGAGGAUGCGAUAGCGUCAGGGGAGGCGGAAGAGGUACCUGAGGAUGAUAAUGUAGAUAAUUCACCAGAGAACAAGCCUAUGUUACUAAGAAAUGACAGUGAAGAGGACUUUGAGGUAUCUGAGAUACUGCAGUCAAAGGAUAAUGAGGUGAAUGAGAGGGGCGGAGCCAAGGAGGAUGAGAGGAAGCACAACGGAGGGCUGCACGAGGAGGCGACUCCCAAACAGCACCGGAAACCUGAGAGGACCCUCAGUCGUGGCAGCGUUCGUUCCCCUGAGGUGUCCGCGGGCGACGAGCAGGACGACGCCGCCCGCCUGGAGGCAGAGCGCAAGCUGGAGGAGCUGAAACGUCGCCGCGACGACGCCGAGAGCGAGGAGUUCGAGAAGAUGAGGCAGAAGCAGCAGGAGGCCGAGGUCGAGCUGGAGGAGCUGAAGAGGAAGAGGGAGGAGAGGAGGAAGGUGCUGGAGGAGGAGGAGCGGCAGAAGAAGCAGGAGGAGGCGGAAAAGAAAGCCAGAGAGGAGGAGGAGAAAAGGAAGAUGAAAGAGGAGAUCGAGAGGAGGAGAGCAGAGGCAGCUGAGAAGAGACAGAAGGUGGAAGACACCAUGGACGGGGAGGACAAACCGUUCAAGUGUGUCAGCCCUCGAGGCUCCUCUCUGAAGAUUGGAGAGAGAGCAGAGUUCCUGAACAAAUCGGCGCAGAAAAGCACAGUGAAGACGUCUCAUUCUCCGGUGGUGUCCAAGAUAGACAACAGGCUGGAGCAGUACACCUCAGCUGCUCAGCAGAGAGAGAACAAGGAGUCUCGAUCCCCUCGCUCCGGAGCCGUGGAUCUGCCCAUGGUCACCGACAGCAUACGAAACAUCAAGAGCAUGUGGGAGAAAGGCAAUGUGUUCAGCUCGCCUGGAAGCGGCGGAAGCCCAUUCAAGGAAGCAGCUGUGAUGAAGACAGGCGUGGCGGGCCGCAUCAACGACUGGCUGAAUAAAACCCCAGAGAGCGGCAAGACUCCAGGAGGAAGGCCAGCGGACCUGAAGCCGGUUGACGUCACCAACAAGAGGAGUCUAUGGGAAAACAAAGGCGCCUCUCCAACCAAGAACUCUCAUAGCUAGUUGACCUCACCGCUAAAUCUGGAAAAAAGCCUGGAGAGGUGGCAGGCAGAGGGGAGACCAAAUCAGUCGCCAACGGUAUGGGACACUAAUGUCUCGAAGGAGCCACUAAAGCUGGGGACCACGACAAUCCAAGACUCUUCCUUUUGACUUUUUCUUAAGAACCAAAUAGUGACCACACAUCCCGAGAGGGGACCCUUAAGACCAUGGAGGGACAGGAGAGACGCUGUCCGAGCACUGUACCGAAACAACAUCAGCGUAAUUUUGUAAGGUUGCCACGUAUAGUGCCUUUGCACAAUGAUUUUUGCUUUCUGAAAAAAAAAAGAAGAGAAAAACAACAAAAAAUGCUGUGAAAUUUGGACAUUUGUUAUUUCUUUAUCUAAAAAUCCUGCCAGGAAAACAAAACUAAUUAAAUUUAGAUGUAUCUUUUGUACUCGAGACAGAGUAGUUUCCACAUUCCAAAGAGAUGGGUGAAAUCUCACUCCUACCGAUUAUUUUCCAUCUCUUUUUUUAUUUAUAUUUAAAGCAAAAGCUUCACACAUUUGCUAUUUUAUUCAACGUUCACCUGUUCAGGAUAGAAAUAUAAGCACUUCUAGAAUUUAGCGGAUUUCACUUUUAUUAUGUCUUACCAAUAGUGCAGCAACGGUCUGAGUAAUAUAUGUUAGCACAUGUGAUGUUUUGAAUAUCAUACUGUAUCACUUAUAACAUCUGUAUAAUCAUAACAAAAAGGUAUUUUUGCUUCUUUUUCGUAUCCAAAAACUAUUCACCAACAGGCAGUUAGUUAAUUCGGAGUGUUGAAUAUCCAGAAGGCCAUUUUAUUAUCUUUUUAUUUAUAUUUUAAUGUGUUUUUUUUCUUUUUCUAGCUUUUGUACCUGUUCGAUCAAUUUAAAAUCUUCAGACAUUCCUCCUAAAAGCAGCCGCACGUGGUGCCUUCGCUGCUUAAAAGCUGUAGGUUUUAUAAUGUAGGAUCUUUUUCAUUUUGUUUUUAAUCUACCUUUAACUUCUUUAUUGCCUCUAUGCACACUCUUACGCUCAGCAAUGCUUUUCUAACUGAGGGCAAAUUAAAAUCAGGGUGCCUACGCAUAUAACAAGAUAGUAGUACAAGGAUAUUUACCACUAUGUAAAACUUCUGGCCUUAUGAUUGCAAUGACAACAUUUACGACAGCUGAGGUACAGUACUUGAACGCCUCAUCGCGACUCAGUUUCUUUUUUUUGAGACUUGUGAUUUUCAUGUUUAUUUUUCACUGACUUGUUCUUAAGUAGCACAUUCCCUUCGAUAAGAUGAUGAACCGUUUGUCAGGGCAUUAAAUUGAUCGAUGCAACUGCUCAAGAGUCUGACAAUCACAUUCCAUGGCUCCUGAAAAAUGAGCAGGGGAGCUGGACCAAAACAUUUCUACGCGUGAUUUAAUGUGACAUUUAUAUAUGGGUUUUUUUUCCUAAUACAGUGGUUUCAUAAUGCUGUAUUGUUUUUUUUUUUUUACAACUUUGUGUCCAUUUUAUGUUUUUUAAAAAUUCUUUUAUUUCCAUGUUUAACCAGACACUUGUCAUUUGUGUAGCGCUAAGCCUAUGCAAAACACAUUUUCUUUAGUCUCUCUCUCUCUCCCAAUGUCAAACAAGUGGGCAGUUUCCAAGUGGAUGAAUGUUUUGAACAUUAUACCUUUGAUUCAACAACAGCAAUAAAGACAUUGAGGUAUUCCA